This 168-nucleotide ribosomal RNA is filed under the name Escherichia coli. RNAcentral describes it as "partial 23S ribosomal RNA". The stretch from base 1 to 150 matches the Rfam family "Bacterial large subunit ribosomal RNA", at positions 2781 to 2925 of the family's 2925-position model. The record is from RNAcentral. Lineage: Bacteria; Pseudomonadati; Pseudomonadota; Gammaproteobacteria; Enterobacterales; Enterobacteriaceae.
CUAAGCACGAAACUUGCCCCGAGAUGAGUUCUCCCUGACUCCUUGAGAGUCCUGAAGGAACGUUGAAGACGACGACGUUGAUAGGCCGGGUGUGUAAGCGCAGCGAUGCGUUGAGCUAACCGGUACUAAUGAACCGUGGGGCUUAACCUUACAACGCCGAAGGUGUUU